GAUGAACGCUGGCGGCGUGCCUAAUACAUGCAAGUCGAGCGAACGGACGAGAAGCUUGCUUCUCUGAUGUUAGCGGCGGACGGGUGAGUAACACGUGGAUAACCUACCUAUAAGACUGGGAUAACUUCGGGAAACCGGAGCUAAUACCGGAUGAUAUUUUGAACCGCAUGGUUCAAAAGUGAAAGACGGUCUUGCUGUCACUUAUAGAUGGAUCCGCGCUGCAUUAGCUAGUUGGUAAGGUAACGGCUUACCAAGGCAACGAUGCAUAGCCGACCUGAGGGGGUGAUCGGCCACACUGGAACUGAGACACGGUCCAGCCUCCUACGGGAGGCAGCAGUAGGGAAUCUUCCGCAAUGGGCGAAAGCCUGACGGAGCAACGCCGCGUGAGUGAUGAAGGGCUUCGGAUCGUAAAACGCUGUUAUUAGGGAAGAACAUAUGUGUAAGUAACUGUGCACAUCUGGACGGUACCUAAGCAGAAAGCCACGGCUAACUACGU
RNAcentral lists this ribosomal RNA (496 nucleotides) under uncultured bacterium. RNAcentral's name for it is "partial 16S ribosomal RNA". It matches the Rfam family "Bacterial small subunit ribosomal RNA", at positions 28 to 506 of the family's 1533-position model. The record is from RNAcentral.